GACAGAGGUGCCAAGCGUUAGGCGGAAUCACUGGGCUUAAAGCGUGUGUAGGUGGAUCGUUAAGUACCUUGUGAAAUCCCACGGCUUAACCGUGGAACUGCUCGGUAUACUGGCGGUCUUGAGCCAACUAGGGGCUAUCGGAACAAGUGGUGGAGCGGUGAAAUGCGUAGAUAUCGGGAGGAACACCUGUGGCGAAAGCGGCGCACUGGACCACAUCUGACGCUGAGGCGCGAAAGCUAGGGGAGCAAACAGG
This 253-nucleotide ribosomal RNA is filed under the name uncultured bacterium. RNAcentral describes it as "partial 16S ribosomal RNA". It matches the Rfam family "Bacterial small subunit ribosomal RNA", at positions 524 to 776 of the family's 1533-position model. The record is from RNAcentral.